CUCAACAAACACUGAUGAAGAGCCUCCUAGGAUGAAUAAGGAAUUGCCCCCACUCCUCAAUCUCUGGCCUGGGGAAGCCUGAUCCGCGAACAGGUCAUGACGUCAUGAAAUCACAGGGAGCUAGAGGGGGUGUGGUGACGAAAUUUCACAAAUGCCCACACCAAGCUCUUGCAGAAGAGGUCUUCGUGUCUUACAUGCAGUGGCUACUGCAGAUGACAGCAGACCACACGGAAGGAUGGGGGCAGCAGGGUGGUUUGGAGAAAAGGACAACAGAUUCGAGAAGAGACCUGCAAACAACAAGAGAAACGUACCCACGGAGAAUAACUUUAGCUGUUGCACUGCUUCUGGGCAGGCUUUGCCUCCACAUGGUCCUGGCACUGUCCUUCCUCCACCUGGGGUGAUCCUGCAGGGGAUGGAGGAAGCAGGGGUGUUCCACUGCCCCUCACAAAUCCCCUGGGCGGCUGUGGGAAGAAGAGCGGACACCCAGCAGCAGAGGGCGCCCCUGCUCCGGUUGCACCCGGUCUCCUGCGACCCACCGUGAUAAGGUGGCAGAACCCAUCAUCGAAAGAUACCCGACUUAUCAGUCGCCAAAUGACAUCUGUGAUUUGGAGUCCAAACUCUAGUGAGUUUUCCUUUCAAGAAACCAAGUCUAAGAAGCUGUAUACACCGGACUGUGAGCUCACCAUUUCUAUCCCUGACCUUUGCACAGUGCCUGGCACAUAGUAGAUGCUUAGCAAAUUU
Long non-coding RNA from Rhinopithecus roxellana (golden snub-nosed monkey), 741 nucleotides. RefSeq lists it as uncharacterized. The transcript is spliced from 3 exons. Lineage: Eukaryota; Metazoa; Chordata; Mammalia; Primates; Cercopithecidae. The record is from RefSeq and is a predicted model, not a curated record.